Molecule: ribosomal RNA, 483 nt
Filed under: Pantoea ananatis
Lineage: Bacteria; Pseudomonadati; Pseudomonadota; Gammaproteobacteria; Enterobacterales; Erwiniaceae
Description: bacterial SSU rRNA
Rfam family: Bacterial small subunit ribosomal RNA
Source: RNAcentral
GAAUUCGGCAGAGAUGCCUUAGUGCCUUCGGGAACCGUGAGACAGGUGCUGCAUGGCUGUCGUCAGCUCGUGUUGUGAAAUGUUGGGUUAAGUCCCGCAACGAGCGCAACCCUUAUCCUUUGUUGCCAGCGAGUAAUGUCGGGAACUCAAAGGAGACUGCCGGUGAUAAACCGGAGGAAGGUGGGGAUGACGUCAAGUCAUCAUGGCCCUUACGAGUAGGGCUACACACGUGCUACAAUGGCGCAUACAAAGAGAAGCGACCUCGCGAGAGCAAGCGGACCUCAUAAAGUGCGUCGUAGUCCGGAUCGGAGUCUGCAACUCGACUCCGUGAAGUCGGAAUCGCUAGUAAUCGUGGAUCAGAAUGCCACGGUGAAUACGUUCCCGGGCCUUGUACACACCGCCCGUCACACCAUGGGAGUGGGUUGCAAAAGAAGUAGGUAGCUUAACCUUCGGGAGGGCGCUUACCACUUUGUGAUUCAUGAC